Molecule: ribosomal RNA, 388 nt
Filed under: uncultured bacterium
Lineage: Bacteria
Description: bacterial SSU rRNA
Rfam family: Bacterial small subunit ribosomal RNA
Source: RNAcentral
GACGAACGCUGGCGGCGUGCUUAACACAUGCAAGUCGAGCGGUAAGGCCCUUUCGGGGGUACACGAGCGGCGAACGGGUGAGUAACACGUGGGUGACCUGCCCUCAGCUCUGGGAUAAGCCUGGGAAACCGGGUCUAAUACUGGAUAUGACUCCAUGACGCAUGUUGUGGGGUGGAAAGCCUUGUGCGGCUGAGGAUGGGCCCGCGGCCUAUCAGCUUGUUGGCGGGGUGANGGCCUACCAAGGCGACGACGGGUAGCCGGCCUGAGAGGGCGACCGGCCACACUGGGACUGAGACACGGCCCAGACUCCUACGGGAGGCAGCAGUGGGGAAUCUUGCGCAAUGGGCGAAAGCCUGACGCAGCGACGCCGCGUGAGGGAUGACGGCCU